Molecule: long non-coding RNA, 1542 nt
Filed under: Nicotiana benthamiana
Lineage: Eukaryota; Viridiplantae; Streptophyta; Magnoliopsida; Solanales; Solanaceae
Description: long non-coding RNA (NBEN_LNC037099)
Source: RNAcentral
CUCGUUGACAAAGGGUCUCGCACCUCUAGAGUUAAAAGAAAAUUCUGCGUGUUUUUAUUUCUAGCAUUACUCCUUAAAUAGAGCUUACAGAUAAAAUAGGAAAACUUGACUAAGUAGGAAAGCUUUUUUUUGAUGAAGUAAGAUGUUAUAUUAGCAAAAGCAUCUAGAAGAUGCAUAGUUACAAAAGUUGAGGUGCAGAAAUGAAAGAAAAAAAAAUUAGUCCCUUUACAGUAUGUCAAUCUAAGACAAGGGAGCUAACAAAGUCCAAAAGAUGAGCAGAACUAGUUACAGUAGCUAACUUAAUCCAACAAAAAAGAUUGAGUAGGCAUCUAGCUUUGAGAAGUGAUUUGGAGUUGAGAUCUCAUUAAAGCAUCUACUAUUCCUCUCAUUCCAUAAAGACCAAAAGAUAACUGCAGGGAUCAUCAACCAGAUCUUCUUGGGCAACAAAAAAGAUUGAGUAGGCAUCUAGCUUUGAGAGCGCGAUUUGGAGUUGAGAUCCCAUCGAAGCUUCUACUAUUCCUCUCAUUCCAUAAACACCAAAAAAUAACUGCAGGGAUCAUAAACCAGAUCUUCUUGAUGGUCUUAUCAACUCUCCAUCGACUCCAGCUCAGGUGUGCCUGUUUUAUGUUUUGUGGCAUAACCCAUUUAAGGCCAAAAAUACAAAAAAACAUGUUGGAUAGUCGCUGAUAAUCGCACAAGAAAAGAAAGUUCUGCGAGGCCAAAAAUACAAAAAAACAUGUUCCAAAGGUCAUUGGCCACCGUGCAGUGCAAAAACAAAUGUCUGACUGUUUCCACAUUUUCCCUGCACAUAUAACAUCUAUUGACCAGCUGAAGGCCUCUCCUGUUGAAAUUGUCUUGUGUCAAACAAGCUUCAUGGAUAACGAUCCAGUCAAAGCAGAUUAUUUUAAUAGGCAGCUUAGUUUUCCAUAUUAAUUUCCAUGGCCAUGCAUCGAUCACUUGGUUUUGAGAGCAUAGUUGCCUGUAACAUUCUUUCACUGAGAAAGUGCCCUUACUCCCCCAACAAAUGGUGUCUGGUGUACUUGCAUUCAUGUUGAACCUUUUCACUCUGGCAAGCAAUUCUAUCUGCCUAUAACAUUCUUUCACUGAGAAAGUGCCCUUACUCCCCCAACAAAUGGUGUCUGGUGUACUUGCAUUCAUGUUGAACCUUUCCACUCUAGCAAGUAAUUCUAUCAAGUUGUCCACUUCCCAAUCUUGCACUGCUCUUCUGAGAUGAAUAUCCCAAUUGUUGCCACUUCUGUUCUGAGCUAUGGAGAAGUCUUUGUCCAAUGCAAUCUGGAACAAGCUAGGGUAUUCAUCCAUGAGUGUAAUGUUGUUAAGCCAUUUGUCUUUCCAGAAUCUGAUAUGUGCUCCAUUACCUGCUUUGAAGUAGGAUUCCUGAAAAAAUUCAUUCCCAAGUUUCCCGAUGUACUUCCAAGGGCCCAUUCCAUAAGGUGCAUUAGAGAUUUUGGUGCUCCAAUUGUCUAUUUUCCCAUGCUUUGCAAUAAUCACCUCCUUCCAGAGACUUGAUUCCCCUGUGCCAUA